GGCGGAGUCGGAGGAGGAGGAGGAGGAGGACUGCGAAUCGCUCAUAGCGUUAACUUUAGUGAGGGAUUGAAGGAUUGGCAGAUUGAUUGAUCAAAGCAUUGUUGUUUAGGAUCAAUUUAGCGCCACACAUGAGCACGAACUUCAACUUCAACCUUCGAAGGGGUGAUUUUGUCAGAGAGAAAGAGAGGGUGUGAGAGAUAAUGAUGAAUGGAGGCUGUUAGGGUUUUUCUUCCACAGAAAUAAUAGAGAAUUUGAC
This 256-nucleotide unclassified non-coding RNA is filed under the name Hevea brasiliensis (rubber tree). The record is from RNAcentral. Lineage: Eukaryota; Viridiplantae; Streptophyta; Magnoliopsida; Malpighiales; Euphorbiaceae.